RNAcentral lists this non-coding RNA (24 nucleotides) under Rattus norvegicus (Norway rat). The record is from RNAcentral. Lineage: Eukaryota; Metazoa; Chordata; Mammalia; Rodentia; Muridae.
UGAAAAUUUGAAAGAUGAGGAGGG